AGGACGAACGCUGGCGGCGUGCUUAACACAUGCAAGUCGAGCGGAAAGGCCCUUCGGGGUACUCGAGCGGCGAACGGGUGAGUAACACGUGAGGAACCUGCCCUGGACUUUGGGAUAACCCUCGGAAACGGGGGCUAAUACCGAAUACGACACGGUCUCGCAUGAGAUCCGUGUGGAAAGUUUUUUCGGUCUGGGAUGGUCUCGCGGCCUAUCAGCUUGUUGGUGGGGUAAUGGCCUACCAAGGCGACGACGGGUAG
This 257-nucleotide ribosomal RNA is filed under the name uncultured soil bacterium. RNAcentral describes it as "partial 16S ribosomal RNA". It matches the Rfam family "Bacterial small subunit ribosomal RNA", at positions 26 to 286 of the family's 1533-position model. The record is from RNAcentral.